RNAcentral lists this ribosomal RNA (77 nucleotides) under Weissella cibaria. RNAcentral's name for it is "partial 16S ribosomal RNA". It matches the Rfam family "Bacterial small subunit ribosomal RNA", at positions 1 to 77 of the family's 1533-position model. The record is from RNAcentral. Lineage: Bacteria; Bacillati; Bacillota; Bacilli; Lactobacillales; Lactobacillaceae.
CAAAUUGAGAGUUUGAUCCUGGCUCAGGAUGAACGCUGGCGGCGUGCCUAAUACAUGCAAGUCGAACGCUUUGUGGU